Molecule: ribosomal RNA, 538 nt
Filed under: Phyllosticta capitalensis
Lineage: Eukaryota; Fungi; Ascomycota; Dothideomycetes; Botryosphaeriales; Phyllostictaceae
Description: partial large subunit ribosomal RNA
Rfam family: Eukaryotic large subunit ribosomal RNA
Source: RNAcentral
AAUAGCUCAAAUUUGAAAGCUGGCGUCUUCGACGUCCGCGUUGUAAUUUGUAGAGGAUGCUUCGGCGAAGACUCCUGCCUAAGUCCCCUGGAACGGGGCGUCAUAGAGGGUGAGAAUCCCGUAUGUGGCGGGCAGUCUAAGCCAUGUGAAGCUCCUUCGACGAGUCGAGUUGUUUGGGAAUGCAGCUCUAAAUGGGAGGUAAAUUUCUUCUAAAGCUAAAUAUUGGCCAGAGACCGAUAGCGCACAAGUAGAGUGAUCGAAAGAUGAAAAGCACUUUGGAAAGAGAGUUAAAAAGUACGUGAAAUUGUUGAAAGGGAAGCGCUUGCAACCAGACUCGCUCGUAGUUGCUCAGCCGGCCUCUUGGCCGGUGCACUCUUCUACGAUCGGGCCAGCAUCAGUUCGGGCGGCAGGAUAAAGGUGUCGGGAAUGUAGCACCCUUCGGGGUGUGUUAUAGCCCGGCGCGGAAUGCUGCCAGCCUGGACUGAGGAUCUCGCUUCGGCAAGGAUGCUGGCGUAAUGGUUGUAAGCGGCCCGUCUUA